Molecule: long non-coding RNA, 273 nt
Organism: Papaver somniferum (opium poppy)
Lineage: Eukaryota; Viridiplantae; Streptophyta; Magnoliopsida; Ranunculales; Papaveraceae
Exons: 3
Source: RefSeq, a predicted model, not a curated record
CAGCACUGGUCGUGUAUUCCGCAAGGGCGUGCAGUGCGAUGUUGGGGUACAUCCUAUUACAGGACCUCAGUUUUUGUCAGAAGUGAGAUAAUUCUAAUCUCUGCACUACUUGCUUCUCGGAAUUAUGGAAUGAUGCUGAAUACACCAGAAUAGACAAGCCCAUCUUUUACCAAUGUCCUCACUGCGUCAGUUUUCUCUUCUUGGCGAUUGUGUGGAUGUAUGAGUGAGUUGUAAGUUAGAACAUAAAUCUGAUUCUCACCGCAUAUAAAAAAC